GUGGGGGAUAUUGCACAAUGGAGGAAACUCUGAUGCAGCGACGCCGCGUGAGUGAAGAAGUAUUUCGGUAUGUAAAGCUCUAUCAGCAGGGAAGAUAAUGACAGUACCUGACUAAGAAGCCCCGGCUAACUACGUGCCAGCAGCCGCGGUAAUACGUAGGGGGCAAGCGUUAUCCGGAUUUACUGGGUGUAAAGGGAGCGUAGACGGAAUGGCAAGUCUGAAGUGAAAUCCUGCGGCUUAACUGCAGAAUUGCUUUGGAAACUGUCAAUCUGGAGUGUUGGAGAGGUAAGCGGAAUUCCUGGUGUAGCGGUGAAAUGCGUAGAUAUCAGGAAGAACACCGGAGGCGAAGGCGGCUUACUGGACAAUAACUGACGUUGAGGCUCGAAAGCGUGGGAAGCAAACAGGAUUAGAUACCCUUGUAGUCC
This 425-nucleotide ribosomal RNA is filed under the name uncultured bacterium. RNAcentral describes it as "partial 16S ribosomal RNA". It matches the Rfam family "Bacterial small subunit ribosomal RNA", at positions 354 to 796 of the family's 1533-position model. The record is from RNAcentral.